This 494-nucleotide ribosomal RNA is filed under the name uncultured bacterium. RNAcentral describes it as "partial 16S ribosomal RNA". It matches the Rfam family "Bacterial small subunit ribosomal RNA", at positions 28 to 507 of the family's 1533-position model. The record is from RNAcentral.
GACGAACGCUGGCGGCGUGCUUAACACAUGCAAGUCGAACGGUGAAGCGCCUUCCUUUUUGGUGGGUGUGGAUGAGUGGCGAACGGGUGAGUAACACGUGAGUAACCUGCCCCCUUCUUCUGGAUAACCGCAUGAAAGUGUGGCUAAUACGGGAUAUUCUGGGUCUGUCGCAUGAUGGGUCUGGGAAAGAUAUUGUUUCGGUGGGGGAUGGGCUCGCGGCCUAUCAGCUUGUUGGUGGGGUGAUGGCCUACCAAGGCGGUGACGGGUAGCCGGCCUGAGAGGAUGGACGGUCACACUGGGACUGAGACACGGCCCCGACUCCUGCGGGAGGCAGCAGUGAGGAAUAGUGCACAAUGGGCGCAAGCCUGAUGCAGCGACGCCGCGUGAGGGAUGGAGGCCUUCGGGUUGUGAACCUCUUUCGCCAGUGAAGCAGGCCUGCCUCGUUUGUGGGUGGGUUGACGGUAGCUGGAUAAGAAGCGCCGGCUAACUACGUG